ACUCCUACGGGAGGCAGCAGUGGGGAAUAUUGCGCAAUGGGCGGAAGCCUGACGCAGCGACGCCGCGUGAGGGAUGACGGCCUUCGGGUUGUAAACCUCUUUCAGCAGGGACGAAUGUGACGGUACCUGUAGAAGAAGCACCGGCUAACUACGUGCCAGCAGCCGCGGUAAU
This 172-nucleotide ribosomal RNA is filed under the name uncultured bacterium. RNAcentral's name for it is "partial 16S ribosomal RNA". It matches the Rfam family "Bacterial small subunit ribosomal RNA", at positions 335 to 524 of the family's 1533-position model. The record is from RNAcentral.